UACAGGGGGUGCAAACGUUGCUCGGAAUCAUUGGGCGUAAAGCGCACGUAGGCGGUCUGUUAAGUCGGAUGUGAAAGCCCCGGGCUCAACCCGGGAAGUGCAUACGAAACUGGCGGACUUGAAUAUGGAAGAGGGUCGCGGAAUUCCCGGUGUAGAGGUGAAAUUCGUAGAUAUCGGGAGGAACACCAGUGGCGAAGGCGGCGACCUGGGCCAAUAUUGACGCUAAUGUGCGAAAGCGUGGGGAGCAAACAGG
This 253-nucleotide ribosomal RNA is filed under the name uncultured bacterium. RNAcentral's name for it is "partial 16S ribosomal RNA". It matches the Rfam family "Bacterial small subunit ribosomal RNA", at positions 524 to 776 of the family's 1533-position model. The record is from RNAcentral.